AUGCGAGGUCUUAACCGCACAUGUGCCAUCGGUAUGAAAUACUCCGACCGGCAGUGCCGCGGAAGCCGAACAACUCUUUCUGCGAGAUCGGCGCCGCCGGAGUGCUCACUGCUCACCAUGCCCAGCGUGGACAUGGACUCCCUCCUGGCCAGCGCCGCCUUGUACACCGCGGAGCUGCGCACCCGCGUGGCAUCGCUCGAGGAAGAAAGCAGGCAGGCGGCCGUGGCAACGCGCGGGACGAGAUCGGCUUCCGGCCGCCUUAGCGGAGGCGCCUCCUUCCUUCACCACCUGACCGGCGACGACGUGGUGGAGGUGCGGAUGAUGGGCCGAGACGGGGCGGCGGUGCACAUGACGACGGCCGUUGGAUCAGCUCCGCACGCGCCGGCAUGGCUGAUGAGCGCGCUCCGGUCACUGGAGCUGCAGGUGCAGCACGCGUGCGUGAUUCGCGUGGAGGGCGUGACUGUGCAGGCCGUCGUUGUGGAGGUGCCGGAAGCGCUGCAGCACGAAGACGGGGCCGCCCUCCGCUUGGCUCUGCUCCAGCAGCUAGAAGACAGCGCCAGCCCAUCGUGA
This 570-nucleotide ribosomal RNA is filed under the name Triticum aestivum (bread wheat). RNAcentral's name for it is "partial small subunit ribosomal RNA". The record is from RNAcentral. Lineage: Eukaryota; Viridiplantae; Streptophyta; Magnoliopsida; Poales; Poaceae.